GCCAGCGAUGGCGCCUUUGACUUCGCCGACUUUGAAUGCGGAGGCAUGCGCAGAACGUUUGUGAGGCUGGCAUCCAGCAACACAGUGCAGUGGACAGCUCCUGCGCUCCCGCCU
This 114-nucleotide non-coding RNA is filed under the name Tetraselmis striata. Lineage: Eukaryota; Viridiplantae; Chlorophyta; Chlorodendrophyceae; Chlorodendrales; Chlorodendraceae. The record is from RNAcentral.